GGCAGGCCUGAGCCGGGCUCCCGCGGCUGGGGUGGCAGGAGGAGAGGCCGCGCGGCGCGGGGAGAGCCCAGAUUACUCCAGACCCUGAGCCACCGAUAACUCUCCAAGACGAUACCUGCCAUAGAAUACAUGCUAAACAAUCAUCUAUUGAACAAAUGCGACUGGAAACCAAAUUAUCAAUUUUAGCAGAUACAUAACAGUUGCCUUAUAUUAGAUUCAGACACUGACAGGAAGUGAAGCCCUAGAAAGUGAAGCCCUUUCAAAGCCCUGCUGAUGACAGGGCCUGGAUCCCUGAGUUACUGGUUGGAGUGGAGUUACCUGGAGUUGCCUCCCGAGCAGGAACAUCCAUGUUGGACAUUUUAUAUUAAAAAAGCAAAGACAUGGGGGAAAUGCUGGUGAUCUACUACAUGAAGAAAAGCAGAGUCCUAAAAUAGCAAUAUAUUGCUGGGACUACAGGAAUGAGAUGCCAAGGAGGCUGACUUUUCUCUUAUAGAAUAUAAAUACCUCUCUAAUAAAGAAAUAUUGGUUUAAAUUAUGAGUUUCAGAUACAACCGAAUCCAUUUCUGCUUCCUAGGGCUAUUUUCAUCUGAAGUCCCGUUGCACUUGAUUGUAGCCAAAGUGACUGAAGCCUCUUUGGAAAUACAUGGGACAUAAAUGUACAAUAGGGGCUGGAGGUAUAGCUCAGUAGUAGAGCAUCAGCCUAGCAAGUGUGAGGCCCUGGAUUUGAUCCCCAGCACCAAAUAUAUGUCUGUAUAAUAAAGUAAAAAGAGCUCAAAAACAAAAAUCAGACAUGAUGGGGUCUCAAACUUAGGUUCUGCUACAUGAUGACUUAUCUUCCUCAGUUUUUGAUGUGGAAUAAUAGUAACAGCUGAGAUUUGUAGAACAUUCAGUAUGUACCAGACACUGUUUAAGUGCUUUACAUACAGUGGAAUUCUGCUAAAAAUCCUCUAAGGCAAAUUUUUUAUUUUUAAUGGUACAGGAGAUUGAACCCCAGGCCUUGUACAUACUAGGCAAGUGCUCUUCAAUUGAGCUAUACCUCCAGACCUUCUUAUUUUAUUUUGAAACAAGAUCUCAUUAAAUUACCCAGGCUAGCCUUGAACUUGCAAUCCUCCUGACUCUGGCUCCGCCUCCUGAGUAGCUGGGAUUACAGGUGUGCACCACCACUUCUGGGCUGAGAUGAAUUCUAUUAGUCUUAUUUUUUCAGAUGAUAAAAAUGAAACAGAGAGAAUGUCAAUCUUGCCAAGCCCAUAUAGUGAGAAACUAGUGGAGUGAAAAUUCAAACCGAGACAGUCUAAUGUUAGGAUCUGUAGUGCUAAGCUCAGUACCAAACUGCCUUACAGAGCCAUGGAAGGAUAAAGUAAAUUAAUAUAUGUAAAGUGCCUAGCAGAAAAGUGGGCAGUCAGUAUGUUAGUUUUCUUUCUAAACGUUCCAUUGCUCUCGGGGCUCAGAAAGAGUUUUGAUUACCUUCCCCAAAAUGUAUUCUCUCAAAACACUGGGGAAAUGUAGCUGUAUGGUAGAUAGUUUUACAAUGAGUUCACUAUCAAUGACCCUCAUGUUAAAUCAGGAAUAUCAGAAAUUGUGUCCCAUAGGACUCCAUUCUGAACCUGAUUCUUUAAUAUUUCAUCAAUGAUUUACAUGGAUAGAACAGAAAAUAGGCUCCUAGAGCUGACAGAUGAUAGCAUGCUGUUAGCAGAUGACACCCAUCGUCAGCUAGGAAGGCGAGCAUCCAGGACAGGAUUAGAAUUCCAAAUGGUCUGGCAAGAUGGGGAAGAGGUGGAGGCAAAAAGAAUGAACUUCAUUAGUAACUAGCACAGAGUAAUACGAUUAUUAAGAGGGCAAACAGAUGAUACUGGCAUAGCAAGGCCAGGGACUAACAACGAAUUAUUGUUGCUGGAAAGAGUUAAUGGUGGAAAUUGUUCAGAACUGGAAAUGAGACAGGAAGUCAAGCAUGAUUCUGGAAAUGUACUGACAAAUAAGACUAUGUUGGAGUGAAUCAAUUUUCCCAUUAAAUACUGUAUUUCAAAGCCCUUUUUUGAAUGUUUUUCCCCCUUUCAAUAUUGUUCUGGAUGUCUUGGAAAAGGCACAGAGAAAGCAGAAGAAAUCUUUAUGGUUGCAAAUUAUAAUGUGACAUCCCUUAAUUGAAGAAAGCAAGUCCAUUGCUGACAGUUCAUUUAAGAAUCUGAGCACCAUUUAUGUGCUAGCCUUUGUGCUGGGUGCUGGGAGACAAAAACUAUCAAGACCUGGUUUGUAUCCUUGAGUUUGGAGACGAGGAUGAUCACUUUUAAGGCUAUAAAAGACUAGGUAUUUAGAACAGGUCAGAGAUCCCUGAUAUUUAUGUCAGUCAUGGGUAACUCCUGUGUACCUCUCUCCUUUUUCUCCUCUUCCUGUUUCCUCCCUUUCUACCUUUUACUGUCCUUUACAUUUUAUACUCUUCAGAUCUGUGAUUGGUGACUACUAGCAUGGCAGGUUAGCCAGACAUUUUCAGUAAAGUCCUGUCUGAGACUGACAGCAUACCAAGCACUUCUCUUUUUGCAUUUCAAGGUAUUUCUGUAAAAUUAUCUUUCAUCCUCCACAUACUCUGCUAAAGUUGCAGGCAAGGAGGUAAGGCUUGGAGAGAAAAGAAUAGGUCCUUCAGUUCAUCUGUUUGGUUGGAGAGAUGGCUGGAGAAUGUAUGUUACAUAUAAAUAGUAUAGUAUUAAAGAAUUUGAUAUUUAUCUUGUUGAUGACAGCAAAUUAAUGAAGGUUUGUGAGAAAGGGAAUCAAAGAUUGAUUUAGGGUUUUAGGAAGAGUAAACUUAUUAUAGAGACAAUGGAUUCUUGGGGUACAGAUUGGAGGCAAAGGUCCUGAUAAAAGAUGAUAACAAAUCUACAGAAAAAAUAAAGUUAGAGGAGGCAGAGAAUACAUGGAAGUGAGAGACACUGUAAAGGAAAUAUCAAUAAAACUUGGUGCCUAACUAAGUGAAGGUGCAGAGAGAGAGGGGUGGGGGAGGGAG
This is a long non-coding RNA of Heterocephalus glaber (naked mole-rat), 2992 nucleotides long. RefSeq lists it as uncharacterized. The record is from RefSeq and is a predicted model, not a curated record. NCBI's taxonomy places the organism in Eukaryota, Metazoa, Chordata, Mammalia, Rodentia, Bathyergidae.